This 276-nucleotide small RNA is filed under the name Histoplasma capsulatum var. duboisii H88. RNAcentral describes it as "Histoplasma capsulatum H88 hypothetical RNA". The record is from RNAcentral. Lineage: Eukaryota; Fungi; Ascomycota; Eurotiomycetes; Onygenales; Ajellomycetaceae.
CAGAUCUUGGACGUAAUGGCCCACCUUUGUGGAGAGUUGAACCGUUGUAGGGCAUGCCCGUAAGCGAAAAUGAGGGAUCCCUCAUUCAUAGCCUCAAUUAUAGGGUCCGGUUGGCGCCCUCCAGUCACCACCCUGCUCGCCAUUGCAGGCAUUUCUUUUAAGCAUAUUUUAAGCAUGUACCACUGGACAGGGGGUGCGCGGGAAUUUAUUUCGGGGAAUCAGUUUUCGUCCGUUUCUUGAAGACAAAGUUUGCCUCAAACACUGGAGAUCCUGAAG